UGAAGACUGAAAAUGAGUUUUCUUUAUGGC
Molecule: non-coding RNA, 30 nt
Filed under: Rattus norvegicus (Norway rat)
Lineage: Eukaryota; Metazoa; Chordata; Mammalia; Rodentia; Muridae
Source: RNAcentral